RNAcentral lists this long non-coding RNA (3103 nucleotides) under Panax ginseng (ginseng). Its description in RNAcentral is "long non-coding RNA (PGIN_LNC012437)". The record is from RNAcentral. Lineage: Eukaryota; Viridiplantae; Streptophyta; Magnoliopsida; Apiales; Araliaceae.
UUAUUGUUUAUCUAUAAUCACAUAAAAAUUAAUUUUUAACUUUGUAAACGUUACAUUUGUACUAAAUUAUUUAUAAAAUAAUAAUCAACUAAACGUCUUCAUAUAAAACUUAAGAUCAUUAAUUACAUAGGGAUUGUAAGACAUUACGUAACUAUAAGCACACGUAUUAAAAUACCAUAGUGUACCGGUCGUGAUAAAUCUAUAUGUGAUUAUGUGAUGGACCGCGUACUUGUAUCCGUGUCAUCACAAAUCACGUACCAGUUAGCACUGCACUAAAGGUCUCUUAAUAAAUGGAAAAUCAAUUACUCCCUCCGUCCCAUAAUAUAUGACGUUUUAAAGUUGUGCACAAGAAUUAAGAAAAUGAUUGUAUAACAUUAAUUAUAAUAUUAAUUGUUUAUAAUACCCUUAAAUAACAAAGAUGAAAUAGUAUCACGUGUAAUUCUGUAAAUAAGCACACCUAGAGUGGGGGUGAAUAGGUGUAAAUACCCAAAAGUGAUCUACAGUGGUCAAUUUUUAAAGUUUACUACUGCAGGAUAUAAUCGGACGGUCUAACCAUGUCCGUAUUAGUUAUGUUCUUCGUCUGUUAUAAACGGACAGCUAAUAUUUGUCUGUUUUAGUAUAAAUUUUGGCGCCACGACUUUAAACCAAAAGCUGCAGAAUAUUAAAGCAUAAAACAGAAACAAAAGAACAGUAAAUCACGCCAAGAUUAUUACGUGGUUUAGCCCCUAGCCUAAUCCACGUCCAAUACUAAAUGGUAUUGGAGACUCACUUUAUAAAAAUAAUAUUCAACAAUUACAAAGGAAAUAAAACUCUCUGUUACAACAACGAUCGAUUGGACACCUCUGCCCCCUUUGCACUUCUGCAAUACCUCUCACCUCUGAGACUUUGAUAGCUUCGUUGAACAGACUGAAUAUUACUAAAAUAAAACCCACAAGCCAACCUAGACUUGUACUAUGUUUAUUAUAGAUAUUAAAAGAAGAAAUACAAGAACUACACUAUAAACUGGGACUUAAAAGAGUGAUGUAGUGACUUGUAUGUAUCUCAGAUUAGUUUUCUGAUGAGUUGCUGUUCUGCAGUCUUGUUCUUCCAAUAAGCUGAGCAAACAGUAUAUAUAAAGGAGAGAAGGACAACGGCUAGAAUAAAGCAACGGUUCAAUCCAAGCAACGACUAGUUCUUCUCAAUUGAAAUAGGAGAUAGGAGAUAUGUGUUAGCUAAAAAAUCUCAACCUUCUACAAAAUCUAACAGAUAAGAUACAAGAUAGAUAUAUAUAGAUAUAUAUAUAUAUAUAUAUAUAUAUAUAUAUAUAAAUAAACCCAGAAAUAACUCAGAAAUAUAUAACAAGAUACAAGAUAAAAUCUAACAGAUAAGAUAGAAGAUAUAUAUAUAUAUAUAUAUAUCUUCUAUCUUAUCUGUUAGAUUUUAUCUUGUAUCUUGUUAUAUAUUUCUGAGUUAUUUCUGGGUUUAUUUAUAUAUAUAUAUAUAUAUAUCUUCUAUCUUAUCUGUUAGAUUUUAUCUUGUAUCUUGUUAUAUAUUUCUGAGUUAUUUCUGGGUUUAUUUAUAUAUAUAUAUAUAUAUAUCUUCUAUCUUAUCUGUUAGAUUUUAUCUUGUAUCUUGUUAUAUAUUUCUGAGUUAUUUCUGGGUUUAUUUAUAUAUAUAUAUAUAUAUAUACCCUAUAACUCAGAAAUAUGAUAUAAUUAAGGAACUUAAAGGAAUAUAAUAGAUAAGAUAUAAAUUUCAGCUGCAAAAUCCUGUUACAAAUUCAACACCAGAUUUCAACCUCCUUAAAAUACUCCGCUUCAUAUUUGAAUUGGUCUUCAUAGCAAAACAGAUUUAGAUAUAAAUAUAAACAUAUAUUUUCAAGUAAAAUUAGAUUCCAAAAAAACUUAAGCACGUGACAAAUUAACCAACCUGUUAUGAGAACAACCCAUGCAAUCCAUUAUAUAAUUAACAUGCAUAAACAAAUUUGAUCAACAUGAUCCAAUUAAAUUAUAAGCCAAUAUAAAAUCAAUUAAGCCCAUAUAAAUAUUGUCAUCAUUAAAACCACAAAGUAUAUAUACUAACAUCACGGGCCAAACUUUUUUGGACAUUGUGUAGAUGGAAAAAAGGACCAUGCUCCAUAUCAUACAUAGAUAAGUACAAUGCAAAUAUUGUUUGUGUCGAGUUAGUAUACUAUCCUCUUGUGUAAGAACAUUCACGGAGCAGAUACAGAUGAGACAGAAGACGAAUAAAUCAAACCUGGCCCUAUUAAAUGGCGCUGUUAUGAGAAAGCUGGCACUCCUCAGCCUCCCCAAUGAUUCCACGGCUCGGUUAUGUUAGCAAUUAACAAGGCCGCGACGAAACAAAAUGACAGAAAAAUCUAAAGAAAUAAAACCAAAAAAAAAAUUGUGUAUCUUUAGAUACAAAUUAUUCUCAACCCAAAAAAACACACAUAAAAAGUUGAAGAUCCCUUUCAUAUAUACUUCUAUACAAGAAAACAUAAUACCCCUAAAAACUAUAAACCUUAUUGGUUCAUUUAUACUUGCCCCAUUCCUUUUAUAAACCUUAUUGCUUCAUACCACAUAGAAAUCCUCCAUUUCAGUGAGAAAUAUGGGAAUGGAGAAACAAAAACUGAUCAAGAAACCCCACAUUAUAGUAAUCUCUAUGCCCUUUCAAGGUCACAUUAAUCCUAUGCUGCAGUUCUCCAAACGUUUAGCAUCAAAAGGCCUUCGAGUCACACUAAUUGCCACCACCAACACCAUCAAACCCAUGGAAUCCCAAGCCUUGAACAACAUAAUCAACAUCGAGUACAUUUCCUACGAACACGACCAAGGCCAAAAGCCACAAAGUGUAGAUGAGUACAUAGAACAUAUCAAACGCAAGGUCUCAGAAAACUUGCCUACGAUCUUGGACAAGCAAAACAAAAAUGGUUACCCUGUGAACGUCCUAGUGCACGAUUCCCUUAUGCCAUGGGCUAUAGAUUUGGGACACGGACUUGGCCUAAAAGUAGCACAAUAUUUUACUCAAGCUUGUACUGUUUGUGCUAUAUACUAUCAUGUGUACCAUGGGAAAAUUAAGGCUCCUCUUAAGGAAUGUUCUGAUCUGAUAUCCUUGCCUUCAUUACCGG